GGUGUGUAACUGACGUUGAGGAGCGAAAGCGUGGGGAGCGACCAGGAUUAGAUACCCUGUUAGUCCACGCCGUAAACGAUGAGUGCUAAAUGUUAGGGGGUUUCCGCCCCUUAGUGGUGCAGCUAACGCAUUAAGCACUCCGCCUGGGGAGUACGGUCGCAAGACUGAAACUCAAAGGAAUUGACGGGGGCCCGCACAAGCGGUGGAGCAUGUGGUUUAAUUAGAAGCAACGCGAAGAACCUUACCAUGUCUUGACAUCCUGUGUCAACCCUAGAGAUAGGGCUUUCCUUUCGGGGUCAGAGUCACAGGUGGUGCAUGGUUGUUGUCAGCUCGUGUCGUGAGAUGUUGGGUUAAGUCCCGCAACGAGCGCACCCCUUGAUUUUAGUUCCCAGCAUUCAGUUGGGCACUCUAAGGUGACUGCCGGUGACAAACCGGAGGAAGGUGGGGAUGACGUCAAAUCAUCAUGCCCCUUAUGACCUGGGCUACACACGUGCUACAAUGGACAGAACAAAGGGAUGCGAGCCCGCAAGGUCUAGCCAAUCCCACAAAUCUGUUCUCAGUUCGGAUCGCAGUCUGCAACUCGACUGCGUGAAUCUGGAAUCGCUAGUAAU
Molecule: ribosomal RNA, 611 nt
Filed under: Bacillus sp. PS-121
Lineage: Bacteria; Bacillati; Bacillota; Bacilli; Caryophanales; Bacillaceae
Description: bacterial SSU rRNA
Rfam family: Bacterial small subunit ribosomal RNA
Source: RNAcentral